AGUUUCGUCCCUGGAAAGUAAGAACCGUAACGUGGUUACUGCUGACAUCGCUCGUCUGUGAAAGGAAGGGGUUUUGCAAGCACUUGGCAAAACCAUUGUUCAUGAAUCGACCCUGGGUUUCUGGGCACCCUGUGUUCUGAGGGUUACGAAUGCUACCCAGAAGGCAGAAGGGCCGAGAAUCAACAGGACGGAGGAGAGGAUGCAGUUCAUGGUUCGCGAGGAUAGAAGCUGUGGUAGUAUUUCUCUUAAAAAUUACCAAAGGGGAGACCAGAUGCCACCUCUGCUCUUCCGGCUUGCUCUGAGAUCAAGUCUGCAGAAGGUUUCCUUAAAAUCAGUGUUGAUGUGCUAGUCAAAACCAAGUUACAGAACAAACCUAGGAGGACAAAAAGCAUUUGCACAAAAAAGGAAGGAGGGGACACUGACCACAGUGGGAUUCUGAGUGACCACGUGGAAAGAAGCUGCCCAUUGACCAGAAACACCUGCCUCGGUCCUUCACGAGCAAGAAACAAACUACUCCAUCAGACUACUGGAAUCUGGAGGUGUAUUUGUUGUCACAUCGGUGUUACACAGGUUAAUAGGGCACCGAUUUUAAAAAUUGACUUGGUGUUUUCUUGAUUCACACGUGUACACAGCCAACCUUUUAACCGGGCGGAAUGUUUCCUUUGUGUGAGCUGAACUACAGGCCCGAUUUUCUUUCUUCCCCCACCUGGUAGGACCUUUAUGGUGUGGGUCCUGUGUGUCACACCUGGCUGAGAACUGCUUGCUUUUAUAUACUAUUAAUUUUGCGUGUGCUUCCCCCACUUCCAUGAAUUCUUACGGGCGAUGCUGACAUUUCCAGCAUGAGGAAUGUUUUGCACAAAUCAGAGGUGCUCUGCUGGAACCUGAAACACAUUACCUUGAAAGAAAUACCAUAUUUACUCACAUAAAUCUAAAAGGCCACAUUUGUGAGGGUGGAAGCCAGACCGAGGAGCUUGAUUUGGGAGGCAAUGGGGAGCCAUUGUAAGUUCUCUAGCAGGGGAAUGAUAUGACUGAAGAGGUGUUUUAGGAAGAUGAAUCUGAUAGCAACACACCAAAGAAACGAGAAAGAAAAUAGCUCAGAGGCCUAGGGACCAACUGUUGCAACAACCCAGUUGUGAAAUAAAGAGGUCUCGUCUGGGAUGACGACGCCAGUGGGAAUGGAAACAGGUGAUGAGGUGAG
This 1198-nucleotide long non-coding RNA is filed under the name Canis lupus familiaris (dog). Its description in RNAcentral is "lncRNA (ENSCAFG00030001563.1)". Lineage: Eukaryota; Metazoa; Chordata; Mammalia; Carnivora; Canidae. The record is from RNAcentral.